This is a long non-coding RNA of Haliotis rubra (blacklip abalone), 564 nucleotides long. RefSeq lists it as uncharacterized. The transcript is spliced from 2 exons. NCBI's taxonomy places the organism in Eukaryota, Metazoa, Mollusca, Gastropoda, Lepetellida, Haliotidae. The record is from RefSeq and is a predicted model, not a curated record.
CGAGUUAAGAGAGCGUCCACGUCGGACCUGUGUUUCUGGUCAUAUUUGGUCGCUUGGACGAGAACACCUUGCCCCGAUCUAGCCUGAAGCAAUCCCACAGAAGGAAAGACAGACUCAACAAUCAAGAGCGUAUCAUUGUGAUCGGAUUUCAUAGAACACAGAGUCUUUUCUGGCAUUUCAAAACAUGAAAAUUCUAUAAUGCCAACCGGAGCUCAGCCAGUCCUGCUGCUAAGACAAGAGAUCUUUGAAUGAUGUGAAGGUGUAGGACCAUCCCAUUAACUGACGAGGAACAGUCUGGUCUUGGGUCAAGUCAGACAAGAUCUAAAUAAAGUCUUCAGACGUAUCCCCUGGUACAAGGACAACCCUCUCUCGUGAAGGAUGAAUGGGUCGGGUUCAUUUAUCUCUAAUCAGUUCCUUGCUGCAGUUGCUGCAGGAAGCAAUUCAGUUAAUGCAUUUUAAAUUACUUUUCUUGUGUUUAUAUUUGUUUACUUUUAAGAAGUCAUGUCUUUAGUGAUCGAUGAUCGUUUUGAUAAUGCAGAAACGAUAAAUGUUCUACACAUGUCA